This 331-nucleotide ribosomal RNA is filed under the name uncultured bacterium. Its description in RNAcentral is "bacterial SSU rRNA". It matches the Rfam family "Bacterial small subunit ribosomal RNA", at positions 568 to 898 of the family's 1533-position model. The record is from RNAcentral.
CGCGUAGGUUGUUUGUUAAGUGAGAUGUGAAAUCCCUGGGCUUAACCUAGGAACUGCAUCUUAAACUGGCGAACUGGAGUACUGUAGAGGGUAGUGGAAUUUCCGGUGUAGCGGUGAAAUGCGUAGAUAUCGGAAGGAACACCAGUGGCGAAGGCGGCUACCUGGACAGAUACUGACACUGAGGCGCGAAAGCGUGGGGAGCAAACAGGAUUAGAUACCCUGGUAGUCCACGCUGUAAACGAUGUGAACUAGAUGUUGGAGGGCAUGACCCUCUAGUAUCGUAGCAAACGCGAUAAGUUCACCGCCUGGGGAGUACGGCCGCAAGGUUAAA